Molecule: long non-coding RNA, 409 nt
Filed under: Homo sapiens (human)
Lineage: Eukaryota; Metazoa; Chordata; Mammalia; Primates; Hominidae
Description: non-protein coding lnc-ANKRD35-2:1
Source: RNAcentral
GCGCCGAGCCCCAUUCCCCCACCUCUCCAGCUCGCCCUCUGAGCCUCCCGAGCCCUCUCUCCAUUUCCCACAAUUGUGCUGGAGGCUGGGAUGGGUUUGAGAGUCUGAGAAAGGGCAAGAGAGGAGAUAAGCAGCUUAAAGCAGAGUCCAGGGAUGGAGGCGGGAGGCUGCAUGGACUCGGAGGGUGUCUGAGCUCCAGGUGCUUCUUGGCUUUGCUGGCCGGAACAAGAGUGGACGGAAGCACGAGCUCCUGGCCAAGGCUCUGCACCUCCUGAAGUCCAGCUGUGCCCCUAGUGUCCAGAUGAAGAUCAAAGAGCUUUACCGACGACGCUUUCCCCGGAAGACCCUGGGGCCCUCUGAUCUCUCCCUUCUCUCUUUGCCCCCUGGCACCUCUCCUGUAGGCUCCCCU